GUUGGUUGGAGAGUUAGGUAGUUGAGACGAUUGCCUGAUUAAGUUGCUAACUUUGAACUAAGCUACAGAAAAAAUGUGCAACAAACGAAAAUGUUUUAAGAAAAAAACGACAUUGAUCAUAUCAAAAAUCCAGCUUCUCCAUCGACGGGGACAGGUCAUUUAAAAAACUAAAGCAGAUACGCGGUUUCGGCCCACGGUUACGCAAUAAAGUCAAAACAGAAACCGCAUGUUGCUUCGGCUGACCAUACCAUCUUUGACGCCCUCAUCACAACCAUAAAAGGGUCAAUUCUGUGUGUCACUGAGUUCCUUGGAGCUCUCAUCCAAGACCUGCAGUUUUCUGUGUUCCUUAGCUUUGUGGUUCUUACUGUGUUCUCCAUCCUGGUCUUGGUAUACUUUCGACGCAGGUGCAAGGACCCACCUCCCCCUGCAGGACUCCAGCCCCUGCCUACUUCCCUGGGUCAACAGAAGAACCAGAUAAUGAGGGAGAAUGUAGUACCUCAGGACCUCACAGCUCAAGUGGACCCUCUUAGGCACAGGAGGCCUUGUAGAGUCAGAGAGCAACCGAAAACGGUUUCUGUGGAGCAACUUGGUCUGAGUGAGGUUGACUCAGAGAGGCGGGAGGCUGUCUGUGACAAGUUCUGUGAUGUGGAGGGGAAAAAAACUCAAAGCGAGGAAGCAAAAGAAUCCCAUGAGGAGGAUGUAGGAGUUGUCUCUAGCAGUGACUCACAGGUAAAAGCCUUUCAAAAUAAAGAUAAAGU
Molecule: long non-coding RNA, 758 nt
Organism: Hypomesus transpacificus
Lineage: Eukaryota; Metazoa; Chordata; Actinopteri; Osmeriformes; Osmeridae
Exons: 3
Source: RefSeq, a predicted model, not a curated record